Molecule: ribosomal RNA, 261 nt
Filed under: uncultured prokaryote
Description: partial 16S ribosomal RNA
Rfam family: Bacterial small subunit ribosomal RNA
Source: RNAcentral
UACGGAGGAUCCAAGCGUUAUCCGGAUUUAUUGGGUUUAAAGGGUGCGCAGGCGGAAGAUUAAGUCGGCGGUGAAAUUUUGCAGCUCAACUGUAAAAGUGCCAUCGAUACUGGUUUCCUUGAGUGUGGAUGAAGUAGGCGGAAUUUGUGGUGUAGCGGUGAAAUGCAUAGAUAUCACGAGGAACUCCGAUUGCGCAGGCAGCUUACUAAACCAUAACUGACGCUCAGGCACGAAGGCGUGGGGAUCAAACAGGAUUAGAUA